Molecule: ribosomal RNA, 425 nt
Filed under: Halomonas sp. S44-1
Lineage: Bacteria; Pseudomonadati; Pseudomonadota; Gammaproteobacteria; Oceanospirillales; Halomonadaceae
Description: bacterial LSU rRNA
Rfam family: Bacterial large subunit ribosomal RNA
Source: RNAcentral
GGUCAAGCGAUGAAGCGCACACGGUGGAUGCCUAGGCAGCCAGAGGCGAUGAAGGACGUGGAAGCCUGCGAUAAGGCUCGGCGAGGUGGCAAACAACCUGCGACCCGGGCAUUUCCGAAUGGGGAAACCCACUCAGGGGAACCUGAGUAUCUCAUGCUGAAUACAUAGGCAUGAGAGGCGAACCGGGGGAACUGAAACAUCUCAGUACCCCGAGGAAAAGAAAUCAACCGAGAUUCCCCCAGUAGCGGCGAGCGACCGGGGAGUAGCCCUUAAGCAUGACAACCGAUAGGCGAACAGGCUGGGAAGCCUGACGAUACAGGGUGAUAGUCCCGUAGCCGAAAUCCGCGUCAUGUGAAAUCGAGUAGGUCGGGGCACGUGUAACCUUGACUGAAGAACGGGGGGACCAUCCUCCAAGGCUAAAUACU